GUGAAAUUUUAAAUUAAAUAUAAGUUCUUUGUGAAUCUAUUGGGGGCUAAGAAGUUUAAGUUAAAAAACCAGGAUUAGAUACCCUGUUAUUAUAAAUCAUGUUUAAGUAGGGUAGUAAAAGUUGUCCUUCAAACCCAAAGAUUUUGGCGGCAUUUCAUCCUAAUAGAGGAGCUUGUUCUGUAAUUGAUAGUCCUCACUUUAUCUUACCCUUUCUUGUUUAGCUUGUAUACCGCCGUUGUCAGAUUACUUUAUAAGAAUGUUUUCAAUAAAAAUAUUUUUUUUUACUUCAGGUCAAGGUGCAGCUUAUGAAAGGGUAGUUAUGAGCUACAAUUUUUAAUAAAAAAUACGAAUUUCAGGCUUUAAAACCGGAGGAAGGUGGAUUUAUUAGUAAAUUUCAUUUAAGUAUAGUGGAAUGAAUAUGGCAAUGGAAUGUGCACAUAUCGCCCGUCACUCUCUUCUUNNGAGGAGAUAA
Molecule: ribosomal RNA, 472 nt
Filed under: Daphnia minnehaha
Lineage: Eukaryota; Metazoa; Arthropoda; Branchiopoda; Diplostraca; Daphniidae
Description: partial small subunit ribosomal RNA
Source: RNAcentral